This is a long non-coding RNA of Sapajus apella (tufted capuchin), 752 nucleotides long. RefSeq lists it as uncharacterized. The record is from RefSeq and is a predicted model, not a curated record. NCBI's taxonomy places the organism in Eukaryota, Metazoa, Chordata, Mammalia, Primates, Cebidae. The transcript is spliced from 3 exons.
CUGUGAUGGUUAAUUUUAUGUGUCAACUGGACUGAGCUAAGGGUGCCCAGCUAGCUGGCAAACGCAUUAUUUCUGGGUGCAUUCAUGAGGAUAUCUUUGGAAGAGAUAAGCAUUUGAAUCAGUAAGCUAAGCAAAGGAGAUUAUCUUCACCAAUGUGAGUGGACAUCAUCCAAUCUGUUGAGGGUCUGAAUAGAAGAAAAAGAUGAGGAAGGACAAAUUUGCUGUUUGUUUGAGCUAGGACAUCUGUCUUCUCCUGUCCUGGACAUCAGCACCAUUGCCUUCAGACUUACUCCACUGGCUCCUCUGGGUCUCAGGCCUUCAGGUUUGGACUAGAACUACAUCAGCUCUCCUGAGCCUCCAGCUUGCAGACAGCAAAUCCUGGGAUUUCUCAGCCUCCAUAAUUGCGUGAGCCAACCCUCAUGAGAAAUUUCUUUCUACAUGUCUACAUAUGUCCUACUGGCUCUGUUUUUUUGGAGAACCCUGAUUCAUAUACCAGUCAAAUGAGAAAUGCAAAGUCUAUUUCUUUAGAUUUUACUAUGGCAAGGGAGUCAGCCUACCAUACUUACAUUUGGCAGAGAUUCAAAGGUAGGCAGAGGGGUGAGAAAGCUUCACAGUAGAACAAAGAGAAGACUUCACAUACAUCUCGAUCAGCACAGGGACACUGUAGCUUUGAUUUGGGAGCGGGGGUCCUGAGGGCAUGGACACACUCGCUGACCAGCCUGGCAGCCUCCAGAGCAGUGCCCCAGUGCACU